AGCCGAUUAGACUGGUGCGACCAGGGAUCCGACUGUUAAUAAACAAGCAUCGCGAAGCCCGCGGCGGGUGUUGACGCGAUGUGAUUCUGCCCAGUGCUCUGAAUGUCAAAGUGAAGAAUU
This 120-nucleotide microRNA precursor is filed under the name Erinaceus europaeus (western European hedgehog). RNAcentral's name for it is "miRNA (ENSEEUG00000022979.1)". The stretch from base 24 to 120 matches the Rfam family "Eukaryotic large subunit ribosomal RNA", at positions 2129 to 2231 of the family's 3401-position model. Lineage: Eukaryota; Metazoa; Chordata; Mammalia; Eulipotyphla; Erinaceidae. The record is from RNAcentral.